RNAcentral lists this transfer RNA (72 nucleotides) under Daphnia pulex (common water flea). It matches the Rfam family "tRNA". From Rfam's summary of the family: Transfer RNA (tRNA) molecules are approximately 80 nucleotides in length. Their secondary structure includes four short double-helical elements and three loops (D, anti-codon, and T loops). The record is from Rfam by way of RNAcentral. Lineage: Eukaryota; Metazoa; Arthropoda; Branchiopoda; Diplostraca; Daphniidae.
UCCCAUUUGGUCUAGUGGCUAGGAUGCAUGGCUCUCACCUAGGAGGUUCGGGUUCGAUUUCCGGUAUGGGAA